RNAcentral lists this ribosomal RNA (207 nucleotides) under uncultured Eubacteriales bacterium. RNAcentral's name for it is "uncultured Clostridiales bacterium partial 16S ribosomal RNA". It matches the Rfam family "Bacterial small subunit ribosomal RNA", at positions 129 to 334 of the family's 1533-position model. The record is from RNAcentral. Lineage: Bacteria; Bacillati; Bacillota; Clostridia; Eubacteriales.
CCUUACACAAGGGGAUAGCCUCUGGAAACGGAGAAUAAUACCCUAUGAAACUAUCUUAUCGCAUGAAAAGAUAGUCAAAGUGUUUUAGCGGUGUAAGAUGGACUUGCGUCUGAUUAGCUAGUUGGUGAGAUAACAGCCCACCAAGGCAACGAUCAGUAGCCGGCUUGAGAGAGUGUACGGCCACAUUGGGACUGAGACACGGCCCAG